Non-coding RNA from Schistosoma mansoni, 45 nucleotides. The record is from Rfam. Lineage: Eukaryota; Metazoa; Platyhelminthes; Trematoda; Strigeidida; Schistosomatidae.
ACCUUGCUGAAGAGUGCCAAAUAACACGAAACCAAGGUCCAGGGU